Molecule: non-coding RNA, 31 nt
Filed under: Mus musculus (house mouse)
Lineage: Eukaryota; Metazoa; Chordata; Mammalia; Rodentia; Muridae
Source: RNAcentral
UGCAAUGGCAUCUGAUGUCCUCUUCUGGUGU